RNAcentral lists this ribosomal RNA (253 nucleotides) under uncultured bacterium. RNAcentral describes it as "partial 16S ribosomal RNA". It matches the Rfam family "Bacterial small subunit ribosomal RNA", at positions 524 to 776 of the family's 1533-position model. The record is from RNAcentral.
UACGAAGGGGGCUAGCGUUGCUCGGAAUCACUGGGCGUAAAGCGCACGUAGGCGGACUCUUAAGUCGGUGGUGAAAUCCUGGGGCUCAACCCCGGAACUGCAUUCGAUACUGCCUGGCUAGAGUACUGGAGAGGAGAUUGGAAUUUACGGUGUAGCAGUGAAAUGCGUAGAUAUCGUAAGGAAGACCAGUGGCGAAGGCGGAUCUCUGGACAGUUACUGACACUGAGGCACGAAGGCCAGGGGAGCAAACAGG